CCUACGGGAGGCUGCAGUGAGGAAUAUUGGUCAAUGGUCGAGAGCCUGAACCAGCCAAGUCGCGUGAAGGAUGAAGGAACUAUGGUUUGUAAACUUCUUUUAUAUGGGAAUAAAGUCAGGAACGUGUUCCUUUUUGUAUGUACCAUAUGAAUAAGCAUCGGCUAACUCCGUGCCAGCAGCCGCGGUAAUACGGAGGAUGCGAGCGUUAUCCGGAUUUAUUGGGUUUAAAGGGUGCGUAGGUGGUUAAUUAAGUCAGCGGUGAAAGUUUGUGGCUCAACCAUAAAAUUGCCGUUGAAACUGGCGCUCUUGAGUGGAAGAGAAGUAUGCGGAAUGCGUGGUGUAGCGGUGAAAUGCAUAGAUAUCACGCAGAACCCCGAUUGCGAAGGCAGCAUGCCGGCUCCCGACUGACGCUGAAGCACGAAAGCGUGGGGAUCGAACAGGAUUAGAUACCCGAGUAGUC
Molecule: ribosomal RNA, 460 nt
Filed under: uncultured bacterium
Lineage: Bacteria
Description: partial 16S ribosomal RNA
Rfam family: Bacterial small subunit ribosomal RNA
Source: RNAcentral